Molecule: RNA transcript, 4442 nt
Organism: Mus musculus (house mouse)
Lineage: Eukaryota; Metazoa; Chordata; Mammalia; Rodentia; Muridae
Gene: Abhd18
Gene name: abhydrolase domain containing 18
Exons: 13
Source: RefSeq, marked validated
ACGCCCCGCCCCGAGGACGUCCUCCCUGUCAGGCUGGCUGGCAGCUCGCCUGCUGUUUUGUACCUGAGCAGAUUCAGCUCUCUGCUGUCCGAGCUGAGGCGAAAGUCCGGUGCCUUAAGCGUGGAGAGCGGUGGUGGCCAGAGGCUUGGCGAGUUCCCCUUCAGGUGUGCCUCGGCGAGCGGCCUAUGCUGUUUGGCACUCAUGGGUGUAAGCAAGUUAGAUAUUCUAUACCGGAGACUUCUUCUCACAAAACUUUUCAUCAGAGGAUGGGGAAGGCCAGAAGACCUCAAGAGACUCUUUGAAUUCAGAAAGAUGAUUGGAAAUCGAGAAAGGUGCCAGAACCUGGUUUCAAGUGACUACCCGGUACACAUCGAUAAGGUUGAAGAACAGUCAGAUUGUAAGAUCCUAGAUGGACACUUUGUUUCUCCCAUGGCCCACUAUGUGCCUGGUAUCAUGCCAAUUGAAUCUGUUGUUGCAAGAUUCCAGUUUAUCGUGCCUAAGGAAUGGAACAGCAGGUACCGACCUGUGUGCAUUCAUCUGGCUGGAACAGGAGACCAUCAUUACUGGAGGCGCAGAACACUCAUGGCUCGUCCUAUGAUUAAGGAGGCCAGGAUGGCUUCAUUGUUGUUAGAAAACCCUUAUUAUAUCCUUUUGUGAUACUCAAAACAUUUCUUUCUCUCUGUUUAUGUACUUACUCUUCAAAAGAAGAACAUCCUGUGCUCUCAACCACUGAGCCAUCUCUCCAGCCCCCAUGGAAGCCCAAGGACCAAGUAAGAUCCAGCUUAAAAAAUGUGUCAGACCUAUUUGUGAUGGGAGGCGCUCUUAUUCUUGAGUCUGCAGCUCUCUUGCACUGGCUGGAGAGGGAAGGUUAUGGACCUCUUGGGAUGACUGGAAUAUCCAUGGGAGGACAUAUGGCCUCCUUAGCAGUGUCCAACUGGCCCAAGCCCAUGCCGUUGAUUCCAUGCCUGUCUUGGUCCACAGCAUCUGGGGUCUUCACUACGGGUGUAUUGAGUAAAUCAAUUAAUUGGCGGGAGCUCGAAAAGCAGUAUUAUACACAGACAGUUUAUGAAGAAGAAAUUAUUCAUAUGCUUGAAUACUGUGGGACAGAUUCUUUCAAAAUGGGACACGAGUUCAUGAAUCACUUGCCUAGCAAUGCAGACAAGCUGACUAACCUGAAUCUGGUUUCCAGAACUUUAAAUUUAGAUAUGACAGACCAAGUUGUAUCCCCAAAGGAUGCCAAGUGCCAUAAGUCUGGUAAAACAUCUAUCAGUGCUCCUUCAAAUGGACAGCUGUUGCAAGAUACAGCUAAGAUGGAAUGCUUGAAUCAAACGCUCUCGACUAACAAAAGUUGGUUUGCAAGUUACAACCCUCAGUCAUUUCACCUGCUCAAUAGAGAACAAAGAAGAAGCAAUCGUCAAAAAGAAUCUUUAAUAUUCAUGAAAGGAGUCAUGGAUGAAUGUACUCACGUAGCAAACUUCUCAGUUCCAGUUGAUCCAAGCCUCAUUAUAGUGGUACAAGCCAAAGAGGAUGCCUAUAUUCCACGAACAGGAGUUCGAAGCUUGCAAGAAAUUUGGCCUGGUUGUGAAAUCCGGUAUCUAGAAGGGGGUCAUAUCAGUGCUUAUCUCUUUAAACAAGGACUCUUCAGACAAGCCAUCUACGAUGCCUUUGAACGUUUCCUUCAUAAAUAUGCUAACUAAUUGGAUUGAUGUAUUGUAUAACAUCCUAUUUCCUACAAAAAGAGUUUACCCAAUGAUGAUGUGAAAAACAAGCAAACAGCACUACAUACUUGAUUGUUGCCAAAUUAGUCUGUGUUGCCAGUGUUACGGGUCAGUUACAAACUGUGGAUACAUUUCAGUAAUGAAAAAACUACUUGAAAAAUACAAUCCUGAAGUAUUUGUAACUCUUUAAAAAAUCUCAUAUACCUUAUACAACAUCUGUUGUUACUAUUUAUGAAAACAUUUUAAUUGUGAAUAAUUUAUUGAUUCAGAAUAAAUAGAAACUAUUGGUUUUUUAAUAGAAUUGUUGAAACUAAAAUUGUAACAUCACAUGUACUGUAUAUUGUUCUAUGGCAGUUUUGCUAUUAACUUGAUUUUAAAAACUCGUGUCUAUCCUUUUUGUGUGUGUAGUGGGUUUAUAAUUUGGUUUUCAACUUUAGGUGAUUUAUUGCCAUAGAAAUACCUAAGAUAUAAAAUCAGUGUUAGCUUUGAAUUAUGAAAACAUCCUGAGUGCUGAGCUGCACCCUCUGUGGUAGUGCACUUGUAGUCCCAGCACUUGGGAAGUGGAGACAGGAGUGUCAGGAGUCCAGCCAUUCUGUUUUUCAUAGCAAAAUUUGAGGCCAGCCUGAGCUGUAUGAGACCCUGUCUCAAACAAUUGCCUGGCAUGGUAGCUCAUGACUUUAAUCUUAGCGGGUAGGAGACAGAGCCAAGCAGAUCUCUUGAAGUGCCAAGGCUGGGACCAUGCUUGCCCAGCCUACCUAGACUCUGAGGCCAGUCCCCAGCACUGCCAAAUGAAAAGAAAAGCUGGAGGUAUUUGGGAAAUGGGGGUUAUACAUGUUUUCUCUACUUAAGAGAGUUUUAUGUCGAAAAUGGAAAUAAUAAAAGAACAUUGUACUAGAUGGUGGGUUCUGUCAGACAUUUCUUAUACACCUGUUCUUCAGUUGCUUACAGACUGAGUUAACAACUUUGACCUUUUAAUUUCAGAAUUUAAAAGCUACAUAUUAAAUUAAACCAUUGUACAGAAAAACACGAGGUUUUACACACUGCUAGCUUUUUAAAUGGAAAUUAUAUGGAUAGAUAUUUGGUGCUAAUGUUAAACUGCUCUGAGCUAAAAUGUUUAAAAGGCAAAUGUGUUUACUUUGAAAUCUGUAUUGCCCUUAAAUUUAAAUUAGGUCUUGCAGGUCUAGUGAGGAUAUGUGGAUUGUAACAUACCUUCUGCAGCUUUUUAAAAAGAUGCUAUCGCACUCCAAUGUCUUUGCCACUAAAAUUUCUACCAGCUAUUUAAACAUCUUUACUGUGAAAUCAUUGAUAGCAAAGAAGUAGCUUCUUGGACAUUACUUUUUAAGGUUUAUUAAUUUUAUGUAUAUAAGUACACUGUCACUGUCAUCAGACAUAUCGGAAGAGGGCAUCAGAUCCUAUUACAGAUGGUUGUGAUCUACCAUGUGGGUGCUGGGAACUGAACUCAGGACCUCUGGAAGAGCAGUCAGUGCUCUUGACCACUGAGCUAUCUCUCAGCCCCUUGGACACUAUUUUCAAGUAACAUUACAGUAGAGCUGUUAGAGCUACAGCAAUUUUGUACUUUCAGGCUUGAAUACAAAUACAAGAAAACCUGGUCAUGGUUGUGGUGGUGCAUGCCUUUAAUUCCAGCAAAGUCAGGUACUCUCUGAGUUGGAGGCCAGCCUCUGGGCUACACAGAGAAACCCUGUCUUGAAAACAAAACAAAACCACAAAACAAACAAAAAAGCAAAAGAACUGGGUGUAGGACCAUGAGUGGUGGCACCCUCUUCCUCCUGCACUGGGAGGCAGAGUUCAGGGUCAGCCUUGUCUUCAGAGGAGUUCCAGGACAACCAGGGCUACACUGGGUAUUACUGGAGGUACAUCCCUGAAAUUCCUGCACUUGGGAGGCAGAGCAUCAGUCAACCACAAGGUUCAGGCCAGAAUAGUCUACAUAAUAUAUUCCAGAUCAACUAGGGCUACCUGUCACAUAUAAGUUUAUUUUCAUCUUUUAAGUGGCUGUUUCAAGACAGCAUUCGCAAAACUACCUAAACUUAUUAAUUCAGAGAAGAAAAUGCCUUUACUCACAUUUCUUCAAAUCCACUCUGCAAAAUAGUAGCUUAAGUACUAUAAAGUCUCAAACCCUUGGGACAAAUGGCUGAAAUGCUUAUCUAACAUAUCAAAUUGAAUCUGGCCACAAGGUUCUCCCGCCAUCCCUACUUGGUUUCCACACCCCGCCUCCUAUAUUGAACUCUCUGAACUUUGCUGCCCCCAACAUACACACACACACACACAUACACACACACACACACACACACACACACACACACACACAAGUUGUAUAUAGUCUUUGAGAAAUUAAUGUAUUCUCAAAGAAGUCCUCUAUGCCAUUUUCCUGUCACUUUGUGGAUUAGGUCUAUGAAAUACUACAGAUUCAUUCAGAGCAGAGUUGCAAGGAGCUCACCAUGGGCCAGUUUGACCCAAUUUUAUUUGGUGUACAUAAGAGUGGGCAUUCUUAUAUGUAGCUACUACUCUAUAUUUACGACUCAGCCCUAAAGACCCUGAAGAAGUAGUUCUGUAGUUAGACUUCAUAAUUUACCAAUGUUGUAAGUAUAUCAUUUUAUCAAUGUAUUUUAAUGUGGUGCUUUCUCUAUUAAAAUAUUAACAAUAUAACAAUUUUUAAAAUAUUUGCCAAAUUUUAUAUUUCCUAAUAAAAAUCUAUUUUAGAAAGUA